UCCGGGUCAUGUACACAGAACAGCGGCUGGGGCUUUCCAGGGGACUUCUGAGCAAGCCAGUGAAAGCUGAGGUGUUGGUUCCACAGUCUAGUCCCUCUUGGGGAAACGUUUGUUCCCUCCAGGAGAUGGCUGGGCUAGAGAACUCCUUCAACAGCUCGGCUUGGGAUGGAGAGUGAUGAUCUGUUCCCUCAGAGCUUGAUGGUGCAAGUGAACACACUCCUGGUGGGGAGCUGUUGAGUGGAUGUGACAACUAUCUGAGACAGAGCCCAGUGCAGGAACCUCCACUAGCAAGGUGGCGCUCCCCCAGCAGGAAGGUUCUGGGCAUCACCCCCAAUGUUGACUAAUUGUGAAGACGGUGUAUGCAUCGCAAUUGUCACACCCAUCAUAUUCAAACUGGUCUAUGGUCUGAAAAGGAAAAAAAAAGUGAGUAUGAGUAAAACAACGUAUUAGUAUUUCGACAAAGUCAAUCCCUUCCUUCCCUAUAUAACCCAACACCUACUGCUCUCCAAACUAUUCCUAAACUCCACCUUCACACCUUUUUGCUCUCGUUCCUAACUCGGCUUAUACAUUUUCUCUAGUCUCUUUGGGGUCAGGUACCCUCUCCGGCUACUCUCUCUGCUGCUUUGGCACCAAGCGUCUUCUCAGUCCAACACAGCAUGUUUACCGAACGUCUGUUGGGGCGACAAACCUGUGCUAGGUUAAGCUGAGAGCUGAAACACAGCCCUCAGCAGGCACAGACGCCCAGCUCACGCUCCCUGGACGUUAACAACGGCUUCCUUAGGCUUCCCAUUCACUGACUCUCAGUCCUUUUCUUUCCUGUGUCUGAAUCCAUUUCACUCUCUUUCUCCAAUUUUGCCUCCCCAAUUGCUCCUACAAACAAGGCCCCGACAGAUACCUUGACUAAGGAGCACAGCAAACAAGCCCGCAGAUGCCGCAGGUCCUUCGGCACCGUCUCCAGGGCCAUCCUCACCGAUAUGACAAUACAGGCUCCACCGCCACAGGAAGUAAACAGACCAUUACCCAGAAUGCCAGCCGCUUCCUUUAUGUA
Grammomys surdaster is the source of this 1048-nucleotide long non-coding RNA. RefSeq lists it as uncharacterized. The transcript is spliced from 4 exons. The record is from RefSeq and is a predicted model, not a curated record. Lineage: Eukaryota; Metazoa; Chordata; Mammalia; Rodentia; Muridae.